CCACCUGCCACUGUGCACAGUUUCUACAAUUUUCAUGAUUACAAAAGCUCUCCACACCAGUGAAUCUCCCUGUUUCUAUACUCCAAGCAAACUAACUCUCAUGAGUACCAGAUGUACAAGCCGGUCUUCUGGGAGGGAGUUGCUGGUGAGGUGUUCUCUGCAAUUUUGGUCGCAAUGUUUCUAUGGCCACAGUAGGUUUCUGAUUCACUCCUGCUCCUUGCUUCCAUAAUGCCCAGUCUGCUGAAUCAAAGAAGGCACGUUCAUGGUCCUUCGAAAUCAAGGGCUUCUUCUUGGGUACAAGUCCUCCAUAUUUCUUGGUCAUGGAUGAUCCCUCAAGCUCUUCAGAAGCGUAAAAAUCUUGGUUUCUGUUGCAAUCUGCCAUCUCAGAUGCCCCUUGCACUAGAGAAAAGCAGAAAUAGAGAGAAGAGUGGACAAAGGAAGGAGGAAUAGAAAGGGGAUGGUUUGGAGUGAAGAAUGAAG
Molecule: unclassified non-coding RNA, 480 nt
Filed under: Hevea brasiliensis (rubber tree)
Lineage: Eukaryota; Viridiplantae; Streptophyta; Magnoliopsida; Malpighiales; Euphorbiaceae
Source: RNAcentral